UACAAAUACUAUCUUAUAACCUAUUGUUUUAACUGCUGACAACUUCACACUGAUUGCCUAAGUGAACAAAUAAGCAAUAAGAAAACUAGUAAAAACUCUACCUUAACUUUGCUUCUCCAUUUUUCAACUUUUUGUUGGUUCUCUUUAUGUCUUAUUGUACUGUCUUUGUCUUGAAACAUUGUUGUAGUUGUAUUGAGUCAUCGAGUAUUUCUACUUGAGUAUUUUACACACCACAAUUACCAUAUUAUAAUACUCAGUUUUUCUCUGUGCUAUUACCAAUGAGUUCUGUACCUUCAGAUGACUUCUUAUUGUUCAUUAACAUUCUUUUCUUACAGAUGGAAGAGAAUGCCCCUUAGUAUUACUUGUAGGACAGGUCUGGUUUUAAUGAAAUCUCUCAGUGUUUGUCUGGGAAGGUCAUUUUUUUCUCCUUCAUGGCUAUGGAAUAUUUUCACAGGAUAGACUAUUCUAGUGUAAAAGCUUUGCUACUUCAGCACUUUAAAUAUGUCAUGCUAUUCUCUCCUGGCCUGUAAGAUUUCCACUGAAAAUCUGCUGCCAGACAUACUGGAGUUUCAUUGUAUGCUGUUUUUCUUGCUGCUUUUAGGAUCCUUUAUUCUUAAUUUUUGGGAGUUUGAUUAUUAAAUGUCUUGAGGUAGUCAUCUUUGGGUUCAAUCUGCUUUGUGUUCUGUAACCUGGUUGUACUUGGAUAUUGAUAUCUUUAUAGAUUUGGGAAGUUCUCUGAUCGUAUUCUUGAAACUUUCUACCCCUUUCUCUUUCUCUCUUUAAGGCUAACAACUCUUAGAUUUGCCCUUUUCAGGGUGUUUUCUAAAUCUUGUAGGCAUACUUCAUUCUUUUUUGUCUUCUCUACAUAUUUUCAAAUUGCCUAUGUUCAAGCUCAAUAAUUUUUUCUUUUGCCUGAUCAGUUUUGCUAUUAAAAGACUGAUGCAUUCUUCAGUAUGCCAAUUGCUUUUUUAACUUCAAUUUCUGCUUGAUUCCUUUUAAUUAUUUCAACCUCUUUGUUUGAUUUAUCUGAUAGAAUCUGAAUUCCUUCUCUAUUUUAUCUUGAAUUUGUUUCCUCAACACAACUAUGUUGAAUCAUCUGUCUGAAAAGUUACUUAUUUUGUUUCUCCAGGAUUGGCCUCUUGUGCCUUAUUCAGUUUGUUAGGUGAGGCCAUAAUUUACUGGAUGGUCUUAAUGUGUAGAUGUUCAUCUGUGUCUUGGCAUUGAAGAGUUAGGCAUUUAUUGUAGCCUUCGCAGUCUGGGCUUUGUGUCCACCCUUGUUGGGAAAGCUUUCCAGAAUUUGAAGGUACUUGGAUCUCAAACUCAAUAACGUUGUUCUUGCAGACUCAUAGAGGUACCAUGUGGUUGGUCUUGGUUAAAAUCGAUGAAUUAUCUGGAUUACCAAGCAGAGACUCUUGUUCUCUUCCCUUAGUUUCUUUCAGACGAAUGGAAUUUCUUUCUCUAUGCUGAGCUACCUGGAGCUGGGGUGGGAUGACACAAGCUUCCCUGUUGCCCCCACCACUGGGACUGUGCUAAUUUAGACCUGAAGUGAGCACAGCACUGGGUGUCACCCAAGGCCCAGUGUAAUUACUGCCUGGCUACCACCUAAGUUUACUCAAGACCUUAGGCCUCUACAAUCAGCAGGUGGUAACCAGCCAGGUUUGUGUCUCCUCAGGGCAGUGAGUUCCCUUUGGCCCCAGGUAGGUUCAGAGAUAUUGUGUGGGAGCCAGGUAUUGAAGUCAGAAGCCUUAUUUAUCUCGUGUUCUAUUCUACUGCAGCUAAGCUGGCAUGCAAAUUACAAGACAACAUCCUUACCACUCCUCCCUCCCCUUUCUGUAGGCAGAGGAGCCUCACAAUGUGUCUGCCACCACCACCAGCCCACAGGGGUUUCCACUGGGCUAUCACUGAUGUUCACUCAACACCCAAGCACUCUUCAGUCAGCUUAUGAUGACUGCUUCCACAACUGGGACUUACUCUUUGGUGCAGGGCAGGUCCAGAAAUGCUGACUCAGGGACCCUAAGAGUCUGCUUGGUGCUCUACCCCACUGUGGCCAAGGUGGUACCUCAGGUGCAAGACAGAAUGCCAUUUACUUUUUCCUCUGCUUUGCUCAAACAGAAGGUGUCUUUCACUAUACCCACCACAGUGGGAAAUGUUCUGGGUCACACCUGAAGCCAGCACAUCUCGGAGUCCAAUGUUCAUGAUGUGUUAUUGGGGUACCACUGUUGGUUAUUCAGAGACCAGCAGCUCCUAAGUCAGAAGGUGAUGAAUCCUGCCAGGUCUCUGCUGUGAUAGGGCAGCACUGGGUUCAUUGUAGUCCCCUAGUCACUGUGCUCUCCGUCUCCCAAAUGAACAGAUUUCUCCCCGCCAUGCAGAUGCUGCUGAGGGGCAAGGGCAAGGUGGCACAAGCACUCCCUUUCCUUCACUGUUGGUGUCUUAGUAGUAGUUCACGUGCCACUUUAUUGUAGUAAAGUUUGUAUAUCAAUUGAGAAAACACGGCCUCAGGUUUUUCACUCAACUGUUCUUGUAUUCUCAACUUAGCAUAAUUUUGUAUAUUAGAUUUGUAAAAUAUAUGUACCUGAAUCUAGUAAUUGGAAUUCUUAAAAUUUUUAUAUCUUUCAGAUGUGUUUUCGCAUUAUAACAAGGACCUGUUGACAGAGCACUGCACAGAAGCUUCAUUCCAAAAAGUGAUAUCGAGGAGACAUGGGAGCUGUGAUCUUGAGAAUUUACAUUUAAGAAAAAGGUGGAAAAGGGAGGAGUGUGAAGGGCACAAUGGAUGUUAUGAUGAAAAGACUUUUAAAUAUGAUCAAUUUGAUGAGUCCUCUGUUGAAAGUUUGUUUCACCAGCAAAUACUUUCUUCUUGUGCCAAAAGCUAUAACUUUGAUCAAUAUAGGAAGGUCUUUACUCAUUCACCAUUGCUUAAUCAACAAGAGGAAAUAGAUAUUUGGGGAAAACAUCACAUAUAUGAUAAAACUUCAGUGUUAUUUAGGCAGGUCUCUACUCUAAAUAGUUACCGAAAUGUUUUUAUUGGAGAGAAAAAUUAUCAUUGCAAUAAUUCUGAAAAAACCUUGAACCAAAGCUCAAGCCCUAAAAAUCAUCAGGAAAAUUAUUUUCUAGAAAAACAAUACAAAUGUAAAGAAUUUGAGAAAGUCUUUCUUCAGAGUAUGCAUGGGCAAGAGAAACAAAAACAGUCUUACAAAUGUAAUAAAUGUGUAGAAGUUUGUACCCAGUCAUUAAAACAUAUUCAACAUCAGACCAUCCAUAUCAGAGAAAACUCAUAUAGAUAUAACAAAUAUGAUAAAGACCUUAGUCAGUCAUCAAAUCUUAGAAAGCAGAUAAUCCAUAAUGAAGAGAAACCAUACAAAUGUGAAAAAUGUGGGGAUAGCUUUAACCAUAGUUUGCACCUUACUCAACAUCAGAUCAUUCCUACCGAAGAGAAACCUUAUAAAUGGAAAGAAUAUGGCAAGGUCUUUAACCUUAACUGUAGUUUAUACCUGACUAAACAGCAGCAAAUUGAUACUGGAGAAAACCUUUACAAAUGUAAAGCAUGUAGCAAAUCUUUUACUCGUUCCUCCAAUCUUAUUGUGCAUCAGAGAAUUCACACUGGAGAGAAACCAUACAAAUGUAAAGAAUGUGGCAAAGCCUUUCGCUGUAGUUCAUACCUUACUAAACAUAAGCGAAUUCAUACUGGAGAGAAACCUUAUAAAUGUAAAGAAUGUGGAAAAGCUUUUAACCGUAGUUCAUGCCUUACUCAACAUCAGACAACUCAUACAGGAGAAAAACUUUACAAAUGUAAAGUAUGUAGCAAAUCUUAUGCUCGUUCUUCAAAUCUUAUUAUGCAUCAGAGAGUUCAUACUGGAGAGAAGCCUUAUAAAUGUAAAGAAUGUGGCAAAGUCUUUAGCCGUAGUUCUUGCCUUACUCAACAUCGGAAAAUUCAUACUGGAGAAAAUCUUUACAAAUGCAAAGUAUGUGCUAAACCUUUUACUUGUUUCUCAAAUCUUAUUGUGCAUGAGAGAAUUCAUACUGGAGAGAAACCCUAUAAAUGUAAAGAAUGUGGCAAAGCCUUUCCUUAUAGUUCACACCUUAUUCGACAUCAUCGAAUUCAUACUGGAGAAAAACCAUACAAAUGUAAAGCAUGUAGCAAAUCUUUUAGUGACUCCUCAGGUCUUACUGUGCAUCGGCGAACUCAUACUGGAGAGAAACCCUAUACAUGUAAAGAAUGUGGCAAAGCCUUUAGUUAUAGUUCAGAUGUUAUUCAGCAUCGGAGAAUUCAUACUGGCCAGAGACCCUACAAAUGUGAAGAAUGUGGCAAAGCCUUCAACUAUAGGUCAUACCUCACUACACAUCAGAGAAGUCAUACUGGAGAGAGACCCUACAAAUGUGAAGAAUGUGGCAAAGCCUUCAACUCUAGGUCAUACCUCACUACACAUCGGAGAAGUCAUACUGGAGAGAGACCCUACAAAUGUGAUGAAUGUGGUAAAGCCUUCAGCUAUAGGUCAUACCUCACUACACAUCGGAGAAGUCAUAGUGGAGAGAGACCCUACAAAUGUGAAGAAUGUGGCAAAGCCUUUAACUCUAGGUCAUACCUCAUUACACAUCAGAGAAGUCAUACUAGAGAAAAACUUUAAAAAAUGUAAAACAUGGAGCAGAUUUUUUUUCUUGUUACCCAUGUCUUAUUGUGCAUCAGAUAAUUUAUAUGGGAGUGAAACCCUACAAAUGUUAAGAAUGUGGCAUAACCUUUAACUAUUUUCAAGCCUUACACAAUAGCAGAGAAUAUAAACUGAAAAAAUCCAUACAAAUAUUAAAAAUGUGGCAAAUUAUUUUAAACUGUGCUCAACCCUUACUCAAGAUAAUCCAUACUAGAGAAACACUAUAGAUGUAAAAAUGUGAAAAGUUUUAUUCAAAAUAUCAAACUUAUGAGUCACCUAGGGGUUCAUAGAAAAAGGAAGUUUGCAGAUGCAAUAAAUGUGAGGAAGUAUUUAAUAAAAAAUGAAGUCUAAA
Molecule: small RNA, 4995 nt
Filed under: Pan troglodytes (chimpanzee)
Lineage: Eukaryota; Metazoa; Chordata; Mammalia; Primates; Hominidae
Description: retained intron
Source: RNAcentral